GGAGGGGUGGCCGAGUGGUUGAAGGCGACGGUCUCGAACACCGUUUGGGCGCAAGUCCUCGCAGGUUCGAAUCCUGUCCCCUCCG
This 85-nucleotide transfer RNA is filed under the name Candidatus Buchananbacteria bacterium RIFCSPHIGHO2_01_FULL_46_12. RNAcentral describes it as "tRNA-Ser". It matches the Rfam family "tRNA". From Rfam's summary of the family: Transfer RNA (tRNA) molecules are approximately 80 nucleotides in length. Their secondary structure includes four short double-helical elements and three loops (D, anti-codon, and T loops). The record is from RNAcentral. Lineage: Bacteria; Candidatus Buchananiibacteriota. RNAcentral also lists the same sequence under 2 other names.